RNAcentral lists this long non-coding RNA (706 nucleotides) under Sorghum bicolor (sorghum). RNAcentral's name for it is "long non-coding RNA (SBIC_LNC014356)". Lineage: Eukaryota; Viridiplantae; Streptophyta; Magnoliopsida; Poales; Poaceae. The record is from RNAcentral.
GCUAGAGAUGCUAGAAUUCUGGAGAAGUUUAUCUUUUAAAAUCUUUAAAAUAUUGCAUGAUGAGUUCCUGUAUGAUGAGAGUUUAAAUUCCUACCACAGCCAUAUAUACAUGCUUGCUAGACUUUGAGCCACACAUUUACUUUACUACUUAUGAGCAUUGAGUGUGGUCAAGCUGUGUAGACCCUUAGGAGCUUGUCAUGUGGUUAAAUCAAGAUUCACUUGCACGUUCACUCACACAUGCUACUUCUACUCCGGAAGUACCAUCCACAUAUAUCCACCCAUUUCCAUCUCCAGAACCACCCAAAAAUAUUCUACUUCUAAUCCGGGACAGAAUGGCCAAAAAUAUUUCUAUUUUUCCCCUGUGAAAUAAAUGCUCAAGUUAUCUUGGUUACUACCACUUGCUAUAUUAUCUCAAGAGAUGAGUGCUCUAAAAAAAGUAUACAAGGAAAUAAAAAGGGGCAAGUGCCCGGAACCUCAAAAGAAAAGAAAAAAGUGAGACAAGAGGUAAAAAUGGACAAGUGUCCGACAGUAGAAUUAGGGGUACAAGAUACCCACCUGAGAGAAAAGAAAAUAGAGAGCAUCUCAUUCUCCUCAUAAAGUUUUAAAAGAGCAAGAAAGGUAUUUAUCCCCUCAAAAGAGCGAAAGUAGAAUUAGACUUUCACCAAUGUUAUCACCAUCAUCACCAUACACCAUUCAUUCGCCACAC